This 644-nucleotide ribosomal RNA is filed under the name uncultured bacterium. Its description in RNAcentral is "bacterial SSU rRNA". It matches the Rfam family "Bacterial small subunit ribosomal RNA", at positions 65 to 702 of the family's 1533-position model. The record is from RNAcentral.
AGGGAGAAAGGGGUAGCAAUAUCCUGAGUACACCGGCGCACGGGUGAGUAACACGCAGGCAAUCUACCUUUAGGACGGGGACAACCCCGAGAAAUCGGGGCUAAUACCCGAUAAUGCAGCGGCACCGCAUGGUGAUGUUGUUAAAGGCCCGCAAGGGCGCCUAUUGAUGAGCCUGCGUCCCAUUAGGUAGUUGGCGGGGUAAUGGCCCACCAAGCCGACGAUGGGUAGCUGGUCUGAGAGGAUGAUCAGCCACACUGGAACUGAGACACGGUCCAGACUCCUACGGGAGGCAGCAGUGAGGAAUAUUGCGCAAUGGCCGAAAGGCUGACGCAGCGACGCCGCGUGAAGGAUGAAGUCCGUUAGGAUGUAAACUUCUUUUGCGAGGGAUGAAUGCUCCGCCUUGUGCGGACUUGACCGUACCUCGCGAAUAAGGGUCGGCCAACUACGUGCCAGCAGCCGCGGUAAUACGUAGGACCCGAGCGUUGUCCGGAAUUACUGGGUGUAAAGGGCGUGUAGGUGGAUCUCUCAGUCGGUGGUGAAAUCCUGCGGCUUAACCGCAGAACUGCCUCCGAUACUGGAGAUCUUGAGUACGGCAGAGGGAGAUGGAAUUCAUGGUGUAGCGGUGAAAUGUGUAGAUAUCAUGA